UUAUAGUUUAUAAAAUUUAUUUUAAAUUUAUUUUACAUAUAAAUUUUAGUAUUAAAUAUUAAUUAUUUUAAAAAUGAUUAAUUUUAUUAAGUAGUAAUUAAUAUUAAUAAUUUAAGAAAUUAAGAUUUAGUAAUAUUUAAAUUAAAAACUAAUUUUGUGCCAGCAGUUGCGGUUAAACAAAAUUUAAAAUAAAUUUUUUUAGUAAAAUUAAUUAAUAAUAUAUUAUAUUUAAAAUAAAUAUUAAAUUAUUAAGUGAAAUUUUAAUUUAAUAAAAUUUUAUGUAGAAAUUAUGAAAUUAAUAAGUUAUAUUAAAAACUAGGAUUAGAUACCCUAUUAUUAAUAAAUUAAAAUGUAAUACUAAAAUAGUAUUUAAUUAUUUAUUGAAACUUAAGUAAUUUGGCGGUAUUUUAGUUCAUUUAGAGGAAUCUGUUUAAUAAUUGAUAAUCCACGAAUAAAUUUACUUAAUUUUUAAUUUUGUAUAUCGUUGUUAAAAAAAUAUUUUUAUUAAAAAAUAAUAUUUAAAAAUUAAAAUGAAAAUUAAAUCAAAUCAAGAUGCAGAUUAUAAUUAAGAAUAUAAUGGAUUACAAUAAAUUUAUUUAAAUAAAUAUUAAUUUGAAAAAAUUAAUUGAAAGUGGAUUUAAAUGUAAUUUUAUUUAAUUUAAUAAAAUGAUUAAAAAUUAAAAUAUGUACAUAUUGCCCGUCGCUUUCAUAUAUAUAUAUAUAUAUAUAUAUAUUAAAAUAAAAUGAAAUAAGUCGUAACAAAGUAGAGGUACUGGAAAGUGUUUCUAGAAAGAA
This 795-nucleotide non-coding RNA is filed under the name Dioryctria yiai. The record is from RNAcentral. Lineage: Eukaryota; Metazoa; Arthropoda; Insecta; Lepidoptera; Pyralidae.